RNAcentral lists this ribosomal RNA (157 nucleotides) under uncultured fungus. RNAcentral describes it as "5.8S ribosomal RNA". It matches the Rfam family "5.8S ribosomal RNA". Rfam says of the family: 5.8S ribosomal RNA (5.8S rRNA) is a component of the large subunit of the eukaryotic ribosome. It is transcribed by RNA polymerase I as part of the 45S precursor that also contains 18S and 28S rRNA. The record is from RNAcentral. Lineage: Eukaryota; Fungi.
AAACUUUCAACAAAGGAUCUCUUGGCUCUCGUAUCGAUGAAGAACGCAGCAAAGCGCGAAAUGUAAUGUGAAUUGCAGAACAUUGUGAAUCAUCGAAUCUUUGAACGCACUUUGCACCCUUUGGUAUUCCGAAGGGUACACCCGUUUGAGUGUCAUU